CUGCCUUAGACAAAGGAUGCACUGGGAGCCCCACCACACCUCAAGCCAUGCUUUGAAGGAUCUGCCAAGCUCACUUUUAAUCAUGAGAAAGAAAUUACCCACAUGGAGUCAGCAGAAAAUGAGAAAGUAGAGCUCACGCUGCGAAUAAUUCCAGCAAGUGCCAAGGGGCUAGUUGAGGAAUGGCUUCAUGAGG
This is a non-coding RNA of Equus caballus (horse), 193 nucleotides long. The record is from Rfam. Lineage: Eukaryota; Metazoa; Chordata; Mammalia; Perissodactyla; Equidae.